UACGUAGGGGGCGAGCGUUGUCCGGAUUUAUUGGGCGUAAAGAGCGUGUAGGCGGCCAGGUAGGUCUGCUGUGAAAACUCGAGGCUCAACCUCGAGACGUCGGCGGAAACCAUCUGGCUAGAGUCCGGAAGAGGAGAGUGGAAUUCCUGGUGUAGCGGUGAAAUGCGCAGAUAUCAGGAGGAACACCAAUGGCGAAGGCAGCU
Molecule: ribosomal RNA, 203 nt
Filed under: uncultured bacterium
Lineage: Bacteria
Description: partial 16S ribosomal RNA
Rfam family: Bacterial small subunit ribosomal RNA
Source: RNAcentral